RNAcentral lists this ribosomal RNA (402 nucleotides) under uncultured bacterium. RNAcentral describes it as "bacterial SSU rRNA". It matches the Rfam family "Bacterial small subunit ribosomal RNA", at positions 355 to 774 of the family's 1533-position model. The record is from RNAcentral.
UGAGGAAUAUUGGACAAUGGGCGCAAGCCUGAUCCAGCCAUGCCGCGUGAGUGAUGAAGGCCUUAGGGUUGUAAAGCUCUUUUAGCAGGGAAGAUAAUGACGGUACCUGCAGAAAAAGCCCCGGCUAACUUCGUGCCAGCAGCCGCGGUAAUACGAAGGGGGCUAGCGUUGCUCGGAAUUACUGGGCGUAAAGCGCGUGCAGGCGGGCGGGCAAGUCUGAUGUGAAAGCCCCGGGCUUAACCUGGGAAGUGCAUUGGAAACUGCUCGUCUUGAGUACUGGAGAGGAAGGGGGAAUUCCCGGUGUAGAGGUGAAAUUCGUAGAGAUCGGGAGGAAUACCAAUGGCGAAGGCGCCCUUCUGGACGGUAACUGACGCUGAGACGCGAAAGCGUGGGGAGCAAACA